AAAUUAUUUGUGAUUUAUUUUUAAUUUUUUUAGUCUACUAACCCUCUCAAAAAUUUAUAUUGUAAAAUUAAAUCUCUCAAAUUUAUAUUUGCAAAAAUAGGUUCCGAGUUGACACAUGGGCGCCAAGCGGGUGGAACGACGUAAAGGUAGGCAAAAAUAGGUUCCGAGUAGACACGUGGGUGCCAAGCGGGUGGAAUUACGUAAAGGUGGUGAACUAUUCGCUGUAUUAAGGUGAAAGCGGUGAAUAAUUUACCGCCUUUCGAAAAGUAAAAAAUUCUAUAAAGAUGGUGAAUCAUUCACCGCCUUCAGUAUAAGCAGUGAAUGAUUCAUUGUCUUAAGCAUCCUGAAUGGUGCUUAAAUACGGUGAUGUCAUGUCUCGAGAUUCUUUUGAGAAUCAUUUUUAAGGAAGACCAACGAAAUAACGUGUAAAUUUUUUUUUUUAUUUAAAACACCCUUAAGAACACCCCGCGAUGCACAUAGACCGGCCACAUGAAUAAAAGAUACCCUAAUCAAAUGGAUAGUCUCCU
This 527-nucleotide long non-coding RNA is filed under the name Ananas comosus (pineapple). Its description in RNAcentral is "long non-coding RNA (ACOM_LNC021266)". Lineage: Eukaryota; Viridiplantae; Streptophyta; Magnoliopsida; Poales; Bromeliaceae. The record is from RNAcentral.